GUCGAGCGAUGAUGAAGAAGCUUGCUUCUUCUGAUUUAGCGGCGGACGGGUGAGUAACACGUGGGCAACCUGCCCUGUAGAUUGGGAUAACUCCGGGAAACCGGGGCUAAUACCGAAUAAUCCAUUUCCUCACAUGAGGAAAUGUUAAAAGACGGUUUCGGCUGUCACUACAGGAUGGGCCCGCGGCGCAUUAGCUAGUUGGUGGGGUAAUGGCUCACCAAGGCGACGAUGCGUAGCCGACCUGAGAGGGUGAUCGGCCACACUGGGACUGAGACACGGCCCAGACUCCUACGGGAGGCAGCAGUAGGGAAUCUUCCACAAUGGACGAAAGUCUGAUGGAGCAACGCCGCGUGAGUGAAGAAGGUUUUCGGAUCGUAAAACUCUGUUGUGAGGGAAGAACAAGUACGAGAGUAACUGCUCGUACCUUGACGGUACCUCAUUAGAAAGCCACGGCUAACUACGUGCCAGCAGCCGCGGUAAUACGUAGGUGGCAAGCGUUGUCCGGAAUUAUUGGGCGUAAAGCGCGCGCAGGCGGUCCUUUAAGUCUGAUGUGAAAGCCCACGGCUCAACCGUGGAAGGUCAUUGGAAACUGGGGGACUUGAGUGCAGAAGAGGAAAGUGGAAUUCCAAGUGUAGCGGUGAAAUGCGUAGAGAUUUGGAGGAACACCAGUGGCGAAGGCGACUUUCUGGUCUGUAA
Molecule: ribosomal RNA, 696 nt
Filed under: Bacillus sp. 17880
Lineage: Bacteria; Bacillati; Bacillota; Bacilli; Caryophanales; Bacillaceae
Description: bacterial SSU rRNA
Rfam family: Bacterial small subunit ribosomal RNA
Source: RNAcentral